GUCUACAGCCAUGCCACCCUGAACAAGCCUGAUCCUGUCUGAUCUCGGAAGCUAAGCAGGGUUGGGCCUGGUUAGUACUUGGAUGGGAGACUUCCUAGGAAGACCAGGUGCUGUAGGCA
Molecule: non-coding RNA, 119 nt
Organism: Pteropus alecto (black flying fox)
Lineage: Eukaryota; Metazoa; Chordata; Mammalia; Chiroptera; Pteropodidae
Source: Rfam